RNAcentral lists this ribosomal RNA (115 nucleotides) under Danio rerio (zebrafish). Lineage: Eukaryota; Metazoa; Chordata; Actinopteri; Cypriniformes; Danionidae. The record is from RNAcentral.
UUAGACAGCUAGCUCUCUGCAACUCUCACAUGGUCGCCCACUGAAGCUAAGCAGGGCUGCGCCCGGUCAGUACCUGGAUGGGAGACCACAUGGGAAAGCUAGGUUGUUGCCGGAA